This is a long non-coding RNA of Chelonia mydas (Green sea turtle), 1064 nucleotides long. RefSeq lists it as uncharacterized. The transcript has 3 exons. Lineage: Eukaryota; Metazoa; Chordata; Testudines; Cheloniidae. The record is from RefSeq and is a predicted model, not a curated record.
UGGGGGUCUCCUUAGCAAUUGGGCGCGAGAAUUGACGUCUGUGGAUUGGGGGGGCAGGAGAGGAAGAGGCAGGUAUAAUUCUCCAGUUAAAAGAACAAAAGCACACACUUGCAGUUUAAAAAUUGCGUUUUAAUUUAAUUUUUCCAAUAAAUUGUUUCCGUCAACUACUCUAGUAACUUUUUUCCCCACUGAGAAACAAUAUGGUUCUAUCGCAGAAUAACAUGGCUACAGGGUCACAACUUUUUUCAAUAACACACACCAUUUUUUUUUUGGCAAAGAUAUAUCUACUGCUGAGAGGAAUAAGGAUUUCAGUCACUCAUGCAUCGCAAGAACUGGGCAGAGUAGCUACAGUAAUUUAUACACUUGGAAUUGAGGCUUUCUUUGCAUACAUUUCAACACCCUCUAUGCUUUGCACUGAGCACAGGACCAAGGUGCAAACCACUGCAUCCACAGAGCUGUCAGCCACUUGAUUCAAGUCCUCCCCUGGGGCCACCAGGAAGCGCUGAAACUGCAGGUGCUGGUUCUGUGCCAUGCUCUUGGAGAGACCGCGCUGGAAGUUGAGGUUUGUGUCAGUGCAGGUAAUUUUGCAGCCAGGUGGGUAGAAUUGGAAGUUGGCGCCAGUGCCAGUCCCAAUCUCCAGCAAAGUCAGUUCCCCCGAGGGGCCUGCAAACUCCUGCAGAUUGCAGAACAGCUCUUGUUUGUGCCCUGAUGCCCUCCGGUUGUAACUUGCAGUUAACUUCUCUAUGAAGAAGGGAAAGAAUAUCUUCUUACAGAAUGGGUCCCACAUGCCCAGGAAUGAUAGCAGGUAUAUGGGCAGAGCAAGCAGCUGAAUGCUAACACGGAGAACCAGGACCACUGCCUUUUCCAUUCCCGCUUCUCAGUAGGACCUGCCCUGAAAAGAGCCUGCUUAUUUAAAAAUAAGCUCCCUUGAAGUUUAGGCAGAAUGCAGAGUGAGUAUCAAGCAGCUCUGUUCACUCUUGGGAUUAUUUUCUGCUCUUUGUACUCAUCUGUUAGGCAGCUUCUACAGCCAAUUUCAAAAUCCAGUGUAAAGGUCCUGGCUGAAA